UUUGUUUUGUCCAGUUUGACCUCCCCUGUCAGUCAUUGAUAGUGGUAGGGUUUCAGACAUGUGACAGAGAGUAAUUCAUGUCCAUUAAAGGGGAUGAGCUCAAAGUAAGGAGCUCUAUCCUAAAGGCAGGACAAGACAAA
RNAcentral lists this non-coding RNA (140 nucleotides) under Mola mola (ocean sunfish). The record is from RNAcentral. Lineage: Eukaryota; Metazoa; Chordata; Actinopteri; Tetraodontiformes; Molidae.